CCUACGGGUGGCAGCAGUGGGGAAUUUUGGACAGUGGGCGCAAGCCUGAUCCAGCUAUUCCGCGUGUGGGAUGACGGCCCUCGGGUUGUAAACCACUUUAGUAGAGAACGAAAAGGAGCUAUCGAAUAAAUAGCUCUGCUGACGGUACUCUAAGAAUAAGCACCGGCUAACUACGUGCCAGCAGCCGCGGUAAUACGGAGGAUGCGAGCGUUAUCCGGAUUUAUUGGGUUUAAAGGGUGCGUAGGCGGACUGUUAAGUCAGCGGUAAAAGCCCGGGGCUCAACCCCGGCGAGCCGUUGAAACUGGCUGUCGUGAGAUGUCGAGAGGUAUGCGGAAUGCGCAGUGUAGCGGUGAAAUGCUUAGAUAUUGCGCAGAACUCCGAUUGCGAAGGCAGCAUACCGGCGGCGAUCUGACGCUGAGGCACGAAAGCGUGGGUAUCGAACAGGAUUAGAUACCCCAGUAGUC
RNAcentral lists this ribosomal RNA (464 nucleotides) under uncultured bacterium. Its description in RNAcentral is "partial 16S ribosomal RNA". It matches the Rfam family "Bacterial small subunit ribosomal RNA", at positions 338 to 795 of the family's 1533-position model. The record is from RNAcentral.